CGUGUUUGCGUGUGUCUAGUGCGUGCGUGUUUUGUGAGUGUGUUUAUGUGGGUCGCUGUGUGUGCAUGCGUGCACGUGUUAGCGUGUCUGCCUGCAUGUAUGUGUGCUUGUUUGUGUUUAUCAAUGUGCGCGUGCGCGCAUUUGUGUCUGCACUUUGAGAGUGCGUAUAUUUGUGUGUGCGUGCGUAUGUAUUGCAUGAGGCCGGUAGAGUUUUACUCGCAAUAAACUUUUCCAAUUUGGUGCAGCGAGUGUUCUCGCCCGAAAGCCGAGUUUGGUUUCAAGCCACCCUGGACAACUGCUGUAUGAGGCGCCGUUUCUCGGGAGGACCGGUGGGAAGGCGUCAGGUCAUGCAGAUGAUAGCAGCAGUUUCGCAAUGCCCAGCCUUGGUGCCCUCCAUCAAGAGCAAGCCACUUGCAUUCGCCUUCAGACAGAUGGUUGAUGUCUUCUUGGAAGCAGUUUGGAAGACAGCAUUGAUGCAAGAUUCCAGCGAUGCCAUACGCUGCACUUAUUGGUCAAGAUGCUCAGAGAAUGGAGUUCCUGCAUCUCAUGGUUAACCGUGAACAGUAUUCUUUUUUGCUUUUUGAAUGCUAAAUGCCAUUUGCUGCAUUAAUUGCAUUUUUUCAGGUCAAAUGUAUACCAUACUUUUUCUAAUUUUGAAUCAAUUAAUAUACACUAUUCAGCAUGAUAAAAAAAUGACCUACAGCAUGAAGGAGGACUGCGAGAGACGACAUACACUGCGCUGACUUCCAACAAUAUUUUAUUGUGUUAUCACAUCGUGUGUAUAUAUGCAAGAGGGGCCAUGUGCAGAAAAUCAAAGGCAGUCAAAGGGGUGUUUUAACAGCAAGUAAUUGUACUAAGAACAUGGUCACUUGAAAAAAAUUAACAUCACAAUUUCUCUGUUGAGAUACAAGACUUC
Long non-coding RNA from Dermacentor albipictus, 916 nucleotides. RefSeq lists it as uncharacterized. NCBI's taxonomy places the organism in Eukaryota, Metazoa, Arthropoda, Arachnida, Ixodida, Ixodidae. The record is from RefSeq and is a predicted model, not a curated record.